Long non-coding RNA from Triticum dicoccoides, 581 nucleotides. RefSeq lists it as uncharacterized. The record is from RefSeq and is a predicted model, not a curated record. The transcript is spliced from 4 exons. Lineage: Eukaryota; Viridiplantae; Streptophyta; Magnoliopsida; Poales; Poaceae.
UUGUAUGCCCUGGUGACGACUCCUACCCGGCCCUCCAUUUGCUCGCCCGGCAUCCUCUAUCUCUAAGAACCCGAUGUCUUGCGACCAAAAAAAUCCAACAAGCGUCCUCGCCAUGUGAAGCUCGUUUCCAUCAGGUAGGCUGACCUCGUGCUUGACACUGUCGACCAGCAGCAAGGCGGCAAAUUCAUUUAUAUAGAGAUCAACUCACACAUGCAGUUUCUCACCUGUAGAAACUUUUCUCAAGUUGUCAGAUAAAGAGCACCGUGGAUGGAUAUAUUAUCAUGUUUGUAUGUAUCUAUACUUCAUAUGGGCACAUGAAAUCUACACGGCAAGAUUGAACUUCUGCAGUGCAUGUUUACUCGAUGUGAAAAUCUUCUAUGUGCCGGAUUUGAAGGCAGUUGCCACAAGGAUAAGCUAGAGAAGCAGAGAAAACAAGGAGCCAUUGUUCCAUUAUCAACAUGUAGAAACUAAAAAUCAUAUAGAUAUGUUUCACCUAGUUUGCGCAUGUAAUUGUUAAUAGGAGAUGUGUACAAUUGAGUUUGUAAACUACUACUACUCUGAGUAAUACAAUGUUAUUAUCU